RNAcentral lists this long non-coding RNA (290 nucleotides) under Ananas comosus (pineapple). Its description in RNAcentral is "long non-coding RNA (ACOM_LNC033981)". Lineage: Eukaryota; Viridiplantae; Streptophyta; Magnoliopsida; Poales; Bromeliaceae. The record is from RNAcentral.
AUAGUUUCAGAGAGAAAUAAUGAAAUACUAGCGUAGUAACCAACACAAUGCGGCGGAUAGAUAAUUACGAAAAGAAUUAAAAACAUCAACGAAAAAAAAAAACAGUGAUAACAAAAAUAAUGAUAAGAAAUAAGAUUCAUCUUGCAUAUGAACGAAGAUAACAGCCGAAAGAAGAGAAAAAAAAAGGACUUAAGCUGGUCCACAUUUAAUAAUGGUCAUAUGACAACUUUAGAAGAAAUAAUAUAUAGAUAUAGAUAUAGAUAUAAAUGUAUAAAAGGUGAAUGAUUACC